CCAAUAGCGUAUAUUAAAGUUGUUGCAGUUAAAAAGCUCGUAGUUGAACCUUAGGCCCGUGCGGGAGGUCCGUCCUCAGGGCGAGCACUUCCUCGUUGCGGGUCUCACCUUCUGGCGAGCGUGGAUGCCAUUUAUUUGGUGUCCGCGGGAACCAGGACCUUUACCUUGAAAAAAUUAGAGUGCUCAAAGCGGGCUCAGACGCUUGAAUACAUUAGCAUGGAAUAAUGAAAUAGGACGAUGGUUCUAUUUUGUUGGUUUCCGGGACGGUCGUAAUGAUUAAUAGGGAUAGUUGGGGGCAUUCGUAUUCAAUUGUCAGAGGUGAAAUUCUUGGAUUUAUUGAAGACGAACUGCUGCGAAAGCAUUUGCCAAGGAUGUUUUCAUUAAUCAAGAACGAAAGUUGGGGGAUCGAAGACGAUCAGAUACCGUCGUAGUCUCAACCAUAAACUAUGCCGACUGGGAAUCGGGCGAUGUUAUUUUUUGUGACUCGCUCGGCGCCCCGAG
Molecule: ribosomal RNA, 501 nt
Filed under: uncultured Glomeromycotina
Lineage: Eukaryota; Fungi; Glomeromycota
Description: partial small subunit ribosomal RNA
Rfam family: Eukaryotic small subunit ribosomal RNA
Source: RNAcentral